GGUCCUGUAGCUUAGCUUGGUUAAAGCGCUCGGCUGAUAACCGAGAGAGCCUGAGUCCAAAUCUCAGCAGGACCACCA
Molecule: transfer RNA, 78 nt
Filed under: Candidatus Helarchaeota archaeon
Lineage: Archaea; Promethearchaeati; Candidatus Helarchaeota
Description: tRNA-Ile
Rfam family: tRNA
About the family: Transfer RNA (tRNA) molecules are approximately 80 nucleotides in length. Their secondary structure includes four short double-helical elements and three loops (D, anti-codon, and T loops).
Source: RNAcentral